AGCAGUGGGGAAUUUUGGACAAUGGGCGCAAGCCUGAUCCAGCAAUGCCGCGUGAGUGAAGAAGGCCUUCGGGUUGUAAAGCUCUUUUGUCAGGGAAGAAACGGUGAGAGCUAAUAUCUCUUGCUAAUGACGGUACCUGAAGAAUAAGCACCGGCUAACUACGUGCCAGCAGCCGCGGUAAUACGUAGGGUGCAAGCGUUAAUCGGAAUUACUGGGCGUAAAGCGUGCGCAGGCGGUUUUGUAAGUUUGUCGUGAAAGCCCCGGGCUCAACCUGGGAAUUGCGAUGAAGACUGCAAGGCUUGAAUCUGGCAGAGGGGGGUAGAAUUCCACGUGUAGCAGUGAAAUGCGUAGAGAUGUGGAGGAACACCGAUGGCGAAGCAGCCCCUGGGUCAAGAUUGACGCUCAUG
This 407-nucleotide ribosomal RNA is filed under the name uncultured bacterium. RNAcentral describes it as "bacterial SSU rRNA". It matches the Rfam family "Bacterial small subunit ribosomal RNA", at positions 350 to 751 of the family's 1533-position model. The record is from RNAcentral.